AGUGAACGCUGGCGGUAGGCCUAACACAUGCAAGUCGAACGGCAGCACAGGAGAGCUUGCUCUCUGGGUGGCGAGUGGCGGACGGGUGAGGAAUACAUCGGAAUCUACUCUGUCGUGGGGGAUAACGUAGGGAAACUUACGCUAAUACCGCAUACGACCUACGGGUGAAAGCAGGGGACCUUCGGGCCGUGCGCGAUCUAAUGAGCCGAAGUCGGAUUAGCUCGUUGGCGGGGUAAAGGCCGACCAAGGCGACGAUCCGUAGCUGGUCUGAGAGGGUGAUCAGCCACACUGGAACUGAGACACGGUCCAGACUCCUACGGGAGGCAGCAGUGGGGAAUAUUGGACAAUGGGCGCAAGCCUGAUCCAGCCAUACCGCGUGGGUGAAGAAGGCCUUCGGGUUGUAAAGCCCUUUUGUUGGGAAAGAAAUCCAGCUGGCUAAUACCCGGUUGGGAUGACGGUACCCAAAGAAUAAGCACCGGCUAACUUCGUGCCAGCCGCCGCGGUAA
RNAcentral lists this ribosomal RNA (506 nucleotides) under uncultured bacterium. Its description in RNAcentral is "partial 16S ribosomal RNA". It matches the Rfam family "Bacterial small subunit ribosomal RNA", at positions 29 to 523 of the family's 1533-position model. The record is from RNAcentral.